UAUACAGCGAAACUGCGAAUGGCUCAUUAUAUAAGUUAUCGUUUAUUUGAUAGUGCCUUACUACUUGGAUAACCGUGGUAAUUCUAGAGCUAAUACAUGCUAAAAACCCCGACUUCGGAAGGGGUGUAUUUAUUAGAUACAAUACCAAUGCCCUUCGGGGCUCUUUGGUGAUUCAUGAUAACUAUACGAAUCGCACGGCCUUGCGCCGGCGAUGGUUCAUUCAAAUUUCUUCCCUAUCAACUUUCGAUGUUUGGGUAUUGGCCAAACAUGGUUGCAACGGGUAACGGAGGGUUAGGGCUCGACCCCGGAGAAGGAGCCUGAGAGACGGCUACUACAUCCAAGGAAGGCAGCAGGCGCGCAAAUUACCCAAUCCCGACUCGGGGAGGUAGUGACAAUAAAUACUGAUACAGGGCCCUUUCGGGCCUUGUAAUUGGAAUGAGUACAAUUUAAAUCCCUUAACGAGGAACAAUUGGAGGGCAAGUCUGGUGCCAGCAGCCGCGGUAAUUCCAGCUCCAAUAGCGUAUAU
RNAcentral lists this ribosomal RNA (526 nucleotides) under uncultured eukaryote. RNAcentral describes it as "SSU rRNA". It matches the Rfam family "Eukaryotic small subunit ribosomal RNA", at positions 75 to 604 of the family's 1831-position model. The record is from RNAcentral.